This 3437-nucleotide long non-coding RNA is filed under the name Arabidopsis thaliana (thale cress). Its description in RNAcentral is "long non-coding RNA (ATHA_LNC000013)". The record is from RNAcentral. Lineage: Eukaryota; Viridiplantae; Streptophyta; Magnoliopsida; Brassicales; Brassicaceae.
UCAAUAGGAGGUGAUAUUUGGUAUAUGGGAGUGGCUAAGCCAUCUCUUAUUGAAGAUGAUGAUGAUGGAAGGAGAGUAGAUACAGUAAAAGCAAAGUCUGGUCACUUGUACAUUCCACCUGAGGUGGAAGAGAUUCGCGUCUUCAGGUUCUCGGGACCAAAGUUUGUGAAACUGCACCGUGGUACAUGGCAUGCUGGACCCUUGUUUAGUGGCAGCUCCAUCAUGGAUUUCUACAACUUAGAACUCAGCAACACAAAUGUGAGUCAGUGAGUGAUGGUUUUAAAUUGUUAAUACAAUGUAGUGUGAUGAAUGACUUGACAACAUUGUUGCUGUUGAUGAUGUUGUUCAGGUGGUGGAUCACACGUCACAUGAUUUCACGAAGAAUAAUGGAGUCAGCUUCCGCUUUGACACCUAAGAAGAAUAAUGGAGUCAAUCCUAUCAUGAGUGUGCUUCUGUUUUUCCUUGUGUGUAAUGUAAUUGACUAAUUGCCAAUACCAAUACUGUGUAUUGUGUACUGUGCACACAAAUUGGUUAUAUGCAAUAAAAUACCGGUUUAAGUUAACCAACCCUGGUUCAUAAAAUCCUAAUAAUUCUUGAAUUGGUUUUCUAAAAAAAGAAAGCAAAUCAUGAAUACUAAAGAAAUUUGAUUACAUCAUUUGGUGUUUCUAGUAAUCUGCUCUGUUGCCAGUUAUAAAGUAGUAUAUUUAAUUAUUAAGCAUUAUUAAAACGAAUAAUACGUAUAAUAUAAUCGUAGCCGUUGGAUAUAAUUACACGUGCGACUAUCUUUCGAUCGCACUAAAAGCAAAGGAAAGGCUAAAAAGAAGCUCGAGGGUCGAGAUCGAUCAAAAUUGUAAAUCAAUCAUAACACAUUUUAACUAGCUCUAACACAAACUCUAAAAUUUUAGAUUAAUUCAGACUUGGUAACAAUUUUGACUUAACUACGAGCGUCAUUACCAUUCUAUGCAUCGUUUUACACGAAUUACACUCACAUCUCAAAGAUACAUGUCCACAUGCUACGUACCGAGUAUCGACCACACCCGAUAAACAACGGGACAAGCCCUAGAAUCCCGAAAAGGCAAAAAGGUCCCUUGUUUUCUCUCUUUUUUCAUGUUAAACACAUACUUUUUAAAUUAACAAGAAAGCCCAGAUAUUUUUGGUGUUUUCUUACUGAAUCUAGACUUGAAGAGAAUUUUAGGAAAACUCCAAAAAGCUCGUACGCUAAUUCUUAUCUUCACUUCCAUUUUUCCUGUGGUGAUGGUGAGAGUUCAAGUGUUCCAACGAUGGCGAAAUCCCCGGUAGAGGUGAAACUGAUCCCGAUCGAAGCUACUCCUGAGAAUUUCGCAGACUAUGGUCAAGUCAUCGAAGCCUCUCGUGACGGUGCAGGUUUCGGUCCCAACGACGCUCAACUGGAUCUCUCCAGAGGAAUCCCACGGUACUCUUUAUCCAGUUUACUAAAAUUUCGUUAAUACCUAAGAUUAUUGAUUAAAACACAUGCUUCUUCUAAUCAUAUUCGUUGUUGAUUAAUGUCUAAAUUCCUCAUCUUUGAUGCUAAUUUAUCAAUCAAGCUAUGUGAUUUGUAUUGGUUCCUAGAUAGUCGUGUUGAUCAGUUCCUAAUAACAAAAGACUUAUAGAUUUUGUAGGAACGUACUUAUUUACUACAAAAUUCAACAAAACGAAAGACCAAUUCAAACUAGACUCUUCUUACUACUUCAAGUAAUUAACUGACUUCAUUUACAAGUCCUAGCAUUAGGUUUCAGAUUUGUUUGUUCUUUUUUUUUUUUACAAUUAGCUAAUCAUCAUAUUCUCAUUAUGUUUAAUACUUGGGACAGGUUCUAUAUAAUGCGGAUCAGAGAUACACCCUUUGACUUUUCCGUACUCACUCACCACGCGAGCGUGACACAGUGUCUAGGAUCAAUAGGAGGUCAUGUUUGGUACCUUGGAGUGGCUAAACCGACACUUAUUGAAGAUGGUGAUGAUGGAAAGAUGGUAGAUAAAUUGAAAUCAAGGUCUGGUCACUUGUACGCUCCUCCUGCGGUUGAAGAGAUUCGCGUCUUCAGGGUCUCGGGACCAAAGUUUAUUAAACUGAACCACGGUACGUGGCAUGUUGGACCACUCUUCAGUGACAGCUACAUGGACUUCUACAACCUUGAGCUCAGCAACACAAAUGUGAGUGAGAAUGGUUUUAUUGUUAAUAAUGUAUGGAAUGGUGAUGAAUGACUUGUUUUUAUUGACGACAUUGUUGUUGUUGAUGAUGAUGUUCAGGCGGUGGAUCGCACGACAUAUGAUUUCAUCAAAAAUAAAGGAGUCACCAUCCGAGUUGACCCCAACGAUGUUGACACAUCGUCCUCCUAACUCAAUCUUAUCAUCAGUGUGUGCUUCUGUUUUCAUGAAUAAAUUGAGCAAUCGUGAAUAAAAUUUGUAUGCAACUGUGUACAAAUUGUUUUUUUUUUUUUUUUUUUUUUUUCAAUAAAUAUCGAAAAUACUUGUUUUCUCAUAUUUUCAUGUUAAUCCCAUACUUUUAAAAUUGACAAGAAAACCUAAAUAUACUUUGGUGUCUUCUGAUUGAUUUUAAAAACAUUUUGAGUGGAUACAAAAAGAGCUCAAGAUACAAUCCUCUUUAUUUUUAUUUUCUUGUGGUGCGUUUCAACGAUGGCGAAAUCUCCGGUGGAAGUGAAUUUGAUUCCUAUCGAAGCUACUCCGGAGAACUUCGCAGAGUAUGGUCAAGUCAUUGAAGCCUCUCGUGAUGGUGCUGGUUUCGGUCCCCACGACGCUCAACUAGAUCUCUCUAGAGGAACCCCACGGUACUCUUUUCCCCGAUUCUCUUAAAUUUCGUUAAUCCUUAAGAUUAUUUGUUAAUCUUCGUUUAAAUUCCUCAUUUUUGAUGCUAAUUUAUCAAGCUAUGUGAUUUGUGUUGGUUCCUAAAUACUAGUGUUGUACAAGGUAUUUAUAACAAAGUCCUAGCUUUUAGGUUUCAGAUUGGUUUGUUCUCAAUGUGUAAUAUAAUUUGACGGCAGGCUCUAUAUACUUAGGCUGAAAGAAACACCCUUAGGGUUUUUCAAGAUCACACAUCACGCAAAGGUGACACAGUGUCUAGGAUCAAUAGGAGGUGAUGUUUGGUAUAUGGGAGUGGCUAAGCCGUCUCUUAUUGAAGAUGAUGACGAUGAUGGAAGGAGCGUAGAUACAGUAAAAUCAAAGUCUGGUCACUUAUACAUUCCACCUGAGGUGGAAGAGAUUCGCGUCUUCAGGUUCUCGGGACCAAAGUUUGUGAAACUGCACCGUGGUACAUGGCAUGCUGGACCCUUGUUUAGUGGCAGCUCCUUCAUGGAUUUCUACAACUUAGAGCUCAGCAACACAAAUGUGAGUGAAGAAUGGUUUUAAAUUGUUAAUACACAGUAGUGUGAUGAAUGACAUUGACGGUGAUGUUGAUGCUCAGGUGG